AUACGUAGGGGGCGAGCGUUAUCCGGAAUUAUUGGGCGUAAAGGGCGCGUAGGCGGAUAUUUAAGUCAGGUGUGAAAAGCCAGGGCUCAACCCUGGAACUGCAUCUGAAACUGGGUAUCUUGAGGACAGGAGAGGAAAGUGGAAUUCCUAGUGUAGCGGUGAAAUGCGUAGAUAUUAGGAGGAACACCAGUGGCGAAGGCGACUUUCUGGACUGUAACUGACGCUGAGGCGCGAAAGCGUGGGGAGCAAACAGGAUUAGAUACCCUGGUAGUCCACGCCGUAAACGAUGAGUGCUAGGUGUAGGGGGUAUCGACCCCUCCUGUGCCGCAGUUAACACAAUAAGCACUCCGCCUGGGGAGUACGGCCGCAAGGUUGAA
RNAcentral lists this ribosomal RNA (377 nucleotides) under uncultured bacterium. RNAcentral describes it as "bacterial SSU rRNA". It matches the Rfam family "Bacterial small subunit ribosomal RNA", at positions 523 to 898 of the family's 1533-position model. The record is from RNAcentral.